Molecule: ribosomal RNA, 520 nt
Filed under: uncultured bacterium
Lineage: Bacteria
Description: bacterial SSU rRNA
Rfam family: Archaeal small subunit ribosomal RNA
Source: RNAcentral
AACCUCCGCAAUGUGAGAAAUCGCGACGGGGGGAUCCCAAGUGCCAUUCUUAACGGGAUGGCUUUUCAUUAGUGUAAAGAGCUUUUGGAAUAAGAGCUGGGCAAGACCGGUGCCAGCCGCCGCGGUAACACCGGCAGCUCUAGUGGUAACAAUUUUUAUUGGGCCUAAAGCGUCCGUAGCCGGUUUAAUAAGUCUCUGGUGAAAUCCUGUAGCUUAACUGUGGGAAUUGCUGGAGAUACUAUUAGACUUGAGACCGGGAGAGGUUAGAGGUACUCCCAGGGUAGAGGUGAAAUUCUGUAAUCCUGGGAGGACCGCCUGUUGCGAAGGCGUCUAACUGGAACGGUUCUGACGGUGAGGGACGAAAGUUAGGGGCGCGAACCGGAUUAGAUACCCGGGUAGUCCUAACUGUAAACGAUGCGGACUUGGUGUUGGGGUGGCUUUGAGCUGCUCCAGUGCCGAAGGGAAGCUGUUAAGUCCGCCGCUGGGAAGUACGGUCGCAAGACUGAAACUUAAAGGAAUU